AAGACUAUCCUUUGAGGGAUCAUUUCUAUGGUUACUAGAAAAGUUUCUCUGAUCAUGUAGAGCUCCGGAACCCACAAGGAGGAGCCAGAGCAUCCUCUCCUGAGCAUGAAGCCAGUUCUAGGUGCUGCUUUUGCAACUUUUUUUUUAAAUCAUUGAGGAUCAUUCUUUUCUUCCCUUCCUUUGGAAGAGGGAGAAGGAGAGGAAGCAGUUUGAGUGAU
This is a small nucleolar RNA of Sorex fumeus (smoky shrew), 218 nucleotides long. RefSeq annotates it as small nucleolar RNA U3. The record is from RefSeq and is a predicted model, not a curated record. The transcript has a single exon. NCBI's taxonomy places the organism in Eukaryota, Metazoa, Chordata, Mammalia, Eulipotyphla, Soricidae.